Molecule: ribosomal RNA, 506 nt
Filed under: uncultured bacterium
Lineage: Bacteria
Description: partial 16S ribosomal RNA
Rfam family: Bacterial small subunit ribosomal RNA
Source: RNAcentral
AUUGAACGCUGGCGGCAGGCCUAACACAUGCAAGUCGAGCGGCAGCGGAAAGUAGCUUGCUACUUUGCCGGCGAGCGGCGGACGGGUGAGUAAUGUAUGGGAAACUGCCUGAUGGAGGGGGAUAACUACUGGAAACGGUAGCUAAUACCGCAUAACGUCGCAAGACCAAAGAGGGGGACCUUCGGGCCUCGUGCCAUCAGAUGUGCCCGGAUGGGAUUAGCUAGGAGGUGGGGUAACGGCUCACCUAGGCGACGAUCCCUAGCUGGUCUGAGAGGAUGACCAGCCACACUGGAACUGAGACACGGUCCAGAUUCCUACGGGAGGCAGCAGUGGGGAAUAUUGCACGAUGGGCGCAAGCCUGAUGCAGCCAUGCCGCGUGUAUGAAGAAGGCCUUCGGGUUGUAAAGUACUUUCAGCGGGGAGGAAGGCGUUGUGGUUAAUAACCACAGCGAUUGACGUUACCCGCAGAAGAAGCACCGGCUAACUCCGUGCCAGCCGCCGCAGUAA